UAUAAUUAAACACGUAAAAAAAAAACCUUUUACAUGUAUUAAAGCAAUAUUCUGAAAAUGGAUAUCAGAGCAUAGGCGUUGACUAUGACGGAAGGCUCAAAGCUCAGGAAAAUAUUGCUCAUGCAGAAAUUGCAAUCCUGUUCCAAACUACAUGACAAUGGAUACAUCCACUAGAUGAUGGGCAACAUUUUUUUGAAAUUAUAAUGAAAUCUUGUUAAUAUCAUGUGAUUCUUUCAUGGCAACCUUGAUAAUUUAUUAAUAUGGUCAUUUGAAUAAAUACCAAUAUGAUGAAACUGUGCACAUUCAUUGAGGAAGCAUCCUUAACACUCUAGAUGAGAGAUUAAUUUAGCAUCCUGCUAAGGAGGAGUGUUAUAUUCUCUUUUUCAUGCUUAGGUAAAUAAGAA
Molecule: unclassified non-coding RNA, 404 nt
Filed under: Hevea brasiliensis (rubber tree)
Lineage: Eukaryota; Viridiplantae; Streptophyta; Magnoliopsida; Malpighiales; Euphorbiaceae
Source: RNAcentral